Molecule: ribosomal RNA, 480 nt
Filed under: uncultured bacterium
Lineage: Bacteria
Description: partial 16S ribosomal RNA
Rfam family: Bacterial small subunit ribosomal RNA
Source: RNAcentral
GACGAACGCUGGCGGCGUGCUUAACACAUGCAAGUCGAACGAUGAAGAAAAGAAUCGAAGCUUCGGCAGAAAUUCAUUUCGGAUUAGUGGCAGACGGGUGAGUAACGCGUUAGCAACCUACCUCUUACAAAGGGAUAGCCUCGGGAAACCGGGAUUAAUACCAUAUAACAUUGUGACGAAGCAUUUCGAUGCAAUCAAAGCUACGGCGGUAAGAGAUGGGCUCGCGUCCCAUUAACCGGAUGGUGAGGUAACGGCUCACCAUAGUGACGAUGGGUAACCGGCCUGAGAGGGUGAACGGUCACACUGGAACUGAGACACGGUCCAGACUCCUACGGGAGGCAGCAGUGGGGAAUAUUGCACAAUGGAGGGAACUCUGAUGCAGCGACGCCGCGUGAGUGAUGAAGGAAUUCGUUUCGUAAAACUCUGUUCUAUGGGAAGAAAAGGACUGUACCAUAGGAGAAAGCUCCGGCUAAAUACGUG